Molecule: ribosomal RNA, 409 nt
Filed under: uncultured bacterium
Lineage: Bacteria
Description: bacterial SSU rRNA
Rfam family: Bacterial small subunit ribosomal RNA
Source: RNAcentral
GACGAACGCUGGCGGCGUGCUUAACACAUGCAAGUGGAGCGACGAACCAGGCUUCGGCCUGGGGCAGAGCCGCGAACGGGUGAGUAACACGUGGGUAACCUGCCUCGAUGACCGGGACAACCCGGGGAAACCCGGGCUAAUACCGGAUGUGCUCCUUCACAUCAGUGAAGACAGGAAAGGAAGCUUCGGCCUCCGCAUCGAGAUGGGCCCGCGGCCCAUUAGCUUGUUGGUGAGGUAACGGCUCACCAAGGCUGCGAUGGGUAGCUGGUCUGAGAGGACGAUCAGCCACACUGGGACUGAGACACGGCCCAGACUCCUACGGGAGGCAGCAGUGGGGAAUCUUGCGCAAUGCGCGAAAGCGUGACGCAGCAACGCCGCGUGGGGGAAGACGGCCUCGGUGUAACCCUUC